AGAGAGAGGCAGAGACACAGGCAGAGGGAGAAGCAGGCUCCAUGCAGAGAGCUUGAUGUGGGACUCGAUCCAGGGUCUCCAGGAUCACGCCCUGGGCUGCAGGCAGCUCUAAACCACUGCGCCACCGGGGCUGCUGAGAAUUGUUACCAUGAAUGGGUGCUGUCAGGAAUUUGUUCUGUCCCCGGGAGUGUCCUAGUACUUGGAGAAAGUGCUGGCCUAUAGUGGGCCAGUCAUGACUGCCUUUGGAAGACACAGGUGCAGAGUGUGGAAAAGUGUCUAGCAGAGGGAGAUUCACCACAGUAAGAGAUCUUGGGUAGGUGAGAGGGGUGGGGGCCCAGUGGACAAGGCAGGAUAACGCUCCAUCUACAGAAAAGAGAGGAGGGCAUGCUAAGGGCCACCGGUGCCAGGACAUGGCUAGCUGUGGGGGGGAAGCAAGUAGAAGUUCUCUUCUUAGAUGGCUGAAGUUCCAAGACCUCGGAGUGGAAGGCAGGAUCCCAGACGGAGAAGAAAGGUUCUGGAACAGAGAGGAUGGGGAUAGGGCCUAGGAGGCUAAUUGGCCACCCCAAGCAACAGAGGGCUGAAACUGGACUCAGGGCUUUGUGUCCUUUCAGUUUUUCUCCCUGUGAGUCUAGAAAGGGUAGGACAGGCCCAAGAAGCAGGUGGCAAGAGACCUCUCUGCCCUUGCCCAUGCCUAGGGCCCCAGGGAUGUCUCUGAAGGGCUCUCUAAAGUCUCACCGGCUGGAAACUCACCGUGGGAGGCCCUGGUGCCACUGCAGUCUCCUGUGGGGCCUGGAGCUAGAGACCCCUCCCUUGGUGCCUGUUCUGCUCUGUCACCCCCAGCAUCCCCACGCUCUGCAGAAACUCCUACUCGGACCACAUGGAUUAAUUUCUCUCUCAAUCCACAGUUAAAUGAAUGAGCAAAUGAAUGAACGAAUGAUCGACAGCUGCCUUCAUCUGCACAAGUGGCAAACCCGCUGCCAUCACCCCCCUGGGGCAUCAAACAAUAUUUAUGGCCAGGUCUGCGGACAGCCUGAUGCGCCCACCCUCCACAUCCACACACGCACAAAACUCAGCCAUGGGCAAGGGGCAGGGCUCCAGGGCUAUGGGGCCGUGAGCGGAUAGAAGUUCCAUCUCUGUCUAAAAAAUGGAUCAAGGGGAGGAACCCCCACCCUGAGAUCUUUAGCAAUACCUUGACCUAAAUCUUUCCCCUGAGUGAGCCUCCCAACACACAGUAGGUGCUCAAACAAUGAUCUUAUUCCAGUCUCGUGGGGCCUAACAAUGGGGGAGACUGGGCCAGCCCCAUAUUCUGUGGUUGAGGUUACAAGGGAUGGACAACAGGUCACUCAGUGUGGGCGUCUGCUCUGGGAGUCCCUCGCCCUCUUUGGGUCUCCAUUUCUCCACCUGCAAAAUGGACAGAACUCUAGGAACCUUCCAUCAUCUAGAAUUCUGAAAUAGUUUUAAUAUGUGGCACACACAUUCAUAGUUUAAGUGGGGUAGACUUUGCCCCAUUUCUCAGAGUAAGGGGCUGAAGCUCAGAGAGGUGAAGCUGCUUGCCUCGAGACACACAGGGGGAUGGGCGCAUGUGAAUUCAGGCUAACCUGGCUCAUGCCCAGCCCAGCAUUUCCCAGAUCCUUGGCCCAGGGCAUCUCCGCCCCCUCAGGGGAACCCGGGAGGGCCUGUGCCACUCCUAAAGGACUUCAUGCCUUUGGAGAGAAACUGAGGCCCACUCAUAGGACUUCUCAGUCGGGCUCAGAUGCUGUUUGGCCGUGCACCACGUCCGUGGCCCAUCUCUCAAGCCCUCCUCCCACCGCCUGGCCAGGACAUUUUGAGAAUUAAAUGAGAUAAUGUUCGGGAAAGCACUGAGCACAGCGCCUGGCACCAGAAGACACUGGGUAAACAGUCAUUUUCAUUAUUAUUUUUGGGUGCCAAGUCUCAGUGAAACGUCAUGCCACUUCCUGAGAAAUAAAGGCACCCAGUAACACCAUGGGCUGCUGCUUCCACCACCACGCAGGCGUUUUGCUAAAGCCCCUCCAGAUAUCCUGAGGGCCACCAGAAACCAAGGGAGGGGGCCGAGGACACCCAGGCUCUCCAGGCCACGAGGCAUCGGGCCAGGACAUUGCAGCGGUUCGUCCAUGCCCUGGCCAUCUCCACAGGGACACCGGCUAGUGGCCUGCCAUGGCGGGUAGGGAGGGAGAGUGGCAGGACUAAAAUGCAGUCCCCUCUCUCUCCGGGGACUUCAAGCUCUCAGGGAAAACCGGACCCCUGAGAAGCCCUCCCCUGGGGCUCGGCUGCAGCCUGGGCUGUCAGAGCCACAAUGGGCUGCCCCACAGCCUCUCCCAGCCUCAAUUCUGGCAUCUGUGAAAUGAGGCAGCUGCUUUCCAUCCCUGGGGUUAGCUGUGAGGAGCCCCUGGGCUGAGAAAGGGCUCCCCAUGUGGCAGGAGCACUCCCCCUGACUCCCAGAGCCCUCAACCUGGGGGCAGAAUGAAGGUCAGGAAUAUAACCUCUUGGCAGGAGCUGGGAGCAGCAGGAAAACCUACAAGAAGGUGUUCUGACGUGGAAAGCUGCUCCACCUAACUCCAGAACAAGCAAAAGAUAAACGGAGCAUCUGAAGUGGAAGCCCCGCUCCUCACGUCCAAGACUGGCAGGGUCUGGGUGAUAGGUGACACUGGUGGCCGUGGGCACGGGGGGGGGGGGGUGGGCAGGCGCACCUAACUCUGCUGAGAGGUGGGCACAAUGGGAUGACCGGUGGAGGGCCCAGCACCAACUGUUCUCAAAGUCACGGAGACACGGGCCCUCUCUGGAACUUUGUGCUUGGACAACCCAGGCAUAAGGACCUGGGUAUUUGGUUGGGUGGAGACAGAACGUGCAUCAGAAUGAAGCAGGCUAACUGAAGGGAAAAUCAGCCUCAUGUGGGAAAUGCCAGUUAGAUUUCCAAACCAUUUCACUGAUUGAUAUACUAACAAAGGGUGUCAUCUUCCAUGCCCACCCCAUCUUCAGGCUGCGUGUCUCCCCUCAUUGUUCCCAACAGCCUGAUGGGAGGGAGGACCAUGAAUAUCCCCAUUUUGCAGAUGGACAAACUGAGACACAGAAUGGUCGAAUAAAAUUCAUCCAUGGACACACGGCUGGGAUGUAGCAGAGACAAAGCAUGUAACCCCAAUGCUCUCUGUCUCCAAAGUACACUGCUAAAAGAGAGUAUUUUUCUUAAAGAAAAAAUAAAAUGUUAAGAUACAGGACAGCAAACCCCGGUUGACGGUGUGCAGCGGGUCAAACAAAUGACAGCCCCCAUCAAAAACGUGUCCACUUAGAACCUGUGAAUGUGACCUUCUUUAGAUAAUUUUUGCAAAUAUAAUUAAAUUACGGAUCCAGAAAUGAGAUCAUUCUAGAUUAGGAUGGGCCCUAAAUCCAAUGACAAGUGUCUCUAGAAAAGAAGACAUGACAAGACCAGACACAGGCAGAGAUUGGAGGGAUGUGUCGAUAAGGCAAAGAACACCGAGGUUUGCCAGCAGCUCCAGAAGCCGGGAGAGACAUGGAACAUUUCUCCCUCAGAGGCUCCAGAAGGAAGCAACUCGGCCGACAUCUUGAUAUCAGACUUCUGGCCUCCAAAAUUGGGAUAUGAUAAAUCGGUGUCAUUUUAAGCUGCUCUGCUUUGUGGUAAUUUGUUAUGGCAGCUAUGGGAAACUAAUACUGGGUGCAAUUUGCUCCCCACUGUCCCUGCGUCCAUUUUCUUUUCUGGACGUGGCUGACUGUCCCCCCGGGCUGCUGCCCCUGUGCUCCUUCCACAGCUCCAGUGUGAUUCCAAGUGUACAGAUUCAGUCAACCCAUUUUCCCUACUGUUCCCAUUUCACAGAUAAGGAAACUGAGACCACCAGCUUGGGUCAUAGUUCCAGAGGACCCUUGGAGCCCACUGGGCCACAGCUAGUCCUGUGACCACCGGGAAGGCAGCCGGGUCAGGACAGGGCCCAAAGCCUGGUCACUUGGCCCUGGAGCUUCAGGGCUCAGACACUCUGCUCCAGGACAAGGGCCAGGCCCCAUGGGUACCUGUGAGGCUGUGGCUGGCAGGGCCAGCAGAGGAAAGGAAGAGGGCUGCCAGGGUGUCCUCAUCACACAGCCCCUAGGGAGGGGUGAGACCACUCUGCAGCUUCCCCAUGGACUGCUGGGGCACCCCCUCCAGUGGUCCUGAAGGCUCCCAGGGCCCAACAGGGGGCCUGGCCGCCCCAGGCAGGCAGGUGCUGCCGACAGCUUGAAGCUCAGCAGGCCAAGAAAAUGGGCAUAGCUGAGCCUCCGGCCCGAAUGGCAAAGGGCGGGGGAGCAGAGAAAGAGAGGGCUGCCCUGCCCUGCCCUGCCGUGACCGCAGUGCCGAAGCCAAGAGGGGAUGAAGAAGUGGAGGCCUAGAUGCAGGCACAGUAUUCCUGUCCAUUCUGUGAAUGAGGAAACUGAGUCUUGGGGUGGAAGAGCAGCAAGGGUGAUCCACACUUCUCUCAGACUCAGACUAGCAGAUCCUCUCCAGCAGGGGCCCUCAGGAACAAGGCGGCCACUCUCCUUCAGAUUCGGCUCAAACCAGGUGACAGGAAGGACAGGGCUGGCCCAGCAGGUGGGGGACCCUGAGAUGGACAAGCUCAGAGAUGACUUGGCGGGGCGGGGCAGGGUGGGGGUACCAGUUUCCAGAACAGAGGCCCUUCCCCUCAACCCCAAACCCCAUAGUACUGUGAAGAAGCCAGUGAUGGCAGGGAACACCUUCCCCGUGAUGCUCAGGCUGUGCUGAGUGAGAGCUGGGUUGAUGCAGAGGGGGUGGGAUCCGGCCCUGGGGCUGCACCAUUGGGAAGACUGCAAAAUGCAGAUCCCAGGCUCUGCCCCAGAUCCUCCAAACCAGAAUUUCUGGGGAUGGAGCCAGGAGAUCUGGAUUCUCCCAAUGCUCCCAGAGAGUUCUGAGGAAGGAGGUACCCCAUUGAGGAUUCGGCACCUCUUCCAGGGCUCAAAUGUGCCAAUUCUGCAAUUCUAGGUUCUCUGUCUCAAAGAGGCUACAACUUCACAACUCAAAGAAUCCAUGACCUGUGCACUUGGGUGGCUCUGUACAUUCAAAGACUCCACAGCUAAGAUCUGGAGACUCUGUGACUCAGCCCUCAACCCAGUGCCCAUCAAAGGAGAGAGGACGACAUCCCUGGGUCUGGAGCACCAGGGCACCAGCAGGGACAGGAGGCGUGUUUAUAUAACUACAUUCCCGAGUUUGCGUAAGCACUCAGACAAUCCAGAAAGUUCUCUAAUAAUGGUCACAUCAAGAACAUAAAGCUUUGGGGCGGGAUGAGGUGGAGACAGGGUUUGAGGAGGAGCAGCUCACUUUCCACCCUUACGCUGGUUUCAUACUUUACCACGAGCAUAUAACACUCAGGUAGUUAAAAACUAGAAUUGAGUAAUGCAAAAAUAUGACGCAGUCGAUGCUGACUUCCGUGUUCGUUCACUUAUUCUUUUCAUCCCCUUCCACCCCCCAGACGUCGGCCACCAGCACAGGUACAGGGCACAGCGCCCGACUCGGGAGCCAGAGGUGGCAAGCAUGAAUGGCACCCACACUCCGACUGGCCGGAGCCUGUGCGCUACCAUCCUGCCCGGCUCCGAGACCUGUCGGAGAGGUGCAGGCAGAAGAGAUGCCAGCAGCUGGUCCAAAGGUGUCAUGUUGAGGGGGUUCCCAGGCCCUGUCCGUGCCCUGCCUCCACAAGGCCACAGCCAAGGCCUCUGCGAAGCCCUGCACCCUGGGCACCCCCAACGGCACAUUCGCCUCUGGCUGUAACGUGACCCAGGUGACCCGGACGGCCCCGUGCUCUCCGGGCCUCGCCGAGUACUAGUCCCGGGAAGGGACAGGGCCAGGUCCCCUCAGGCCUCUCCGGUCCUCCUCAGGCCCCCCACGGGCCUGGUCUUGGCCUGGAACCAAGAGACCAGAGGCGCAGGGUCGGGGGCAGGAGGGAGGCGGCCGCUACCACCCAGAACGGCAGCUGCUGGCAGUGAUUUAUUUUUGCUUUAAGUGCCGGAGAAUUGCAGGGCUGGAGCAGCCAGCUCAGGGGGCUCAGGCUGCAGCUGGGAGGAGAGGGAGGUGGGCAGGAGGUGCGGGCUGCCCAGCCCCUCCCUGA
This 6119-nucleotide long non-coding RNA is filed under the name Canis lupus familiaris (dog). Its description in RNAcentral is "lncRNA (ENSCAFG00000058023.1, ENSCAFG00805000991.1)". The record is from RNAcentral. Lineage: Eukaryota; Metazoa; Chordata; Mammalia; Carnivora; Canidae.